UAAUAUAUGCUUGUAUCAAAGAUUAAGCCAUGCAUGUCUAAGUAUAAACUGCUUUAUACUGUGAAACUGCGAAUGGCUCAUUAAAUCAGUUAUAGUUUAUUUGAUGGUACUUACUUACUCGGAUACCCGUAGUAAUUCUAGAGCUAAUACGUGCGUACAUCCCGACUUCUGGAAGGGACGUAUUUAUUAGAUAAAAGGCCGACCGGGCUUGCCCGACUCGCGGUGACUCAUGAUAACUUCACGAAUCGCAUGGCCUUGCGCCGGCGAUGUUUCAUUCAAAUUUCUGCCCUAUCAACUUUUGAUGGUAGGAUAGAGGCCUACCAUGGUGGUAACGGGUGACGGAGAAUUAGGGUUCGAUUCCGGAGAGGGAGCCUGAGAAACGGCUACCACAUCCAAGGAAGGCAGCAGGCGCGCAAAUUACCCAAUCCUGAUACAGGGAGGUAGUGACAAUAAAUAACAAUACCGGGCCUUUGGUCUGGUAAUUGGAAUGAGUACAACCUAAACACCUUAACGAGGAUCAAUU
Molecule: ribosomal RNA, 523 nt
Filed under: uncultured eukaryote
Lineage: Eukaryota
Description: SSU rRNA
Rfam family: Eukaryotic small subunit ribosomal RNA
Source: RNAcentral